This 407-nucleotide long non-coding RNA is filed under the name Homo sapiens (human). Its description in RNAcentral is "non-protein coding lnc-TMEM14A-2:1". Lineage: Eukaryota; Metazoa; Chordata; Mammalia; Primates; Hominidae. The record is from RNAcentral.
GGAGGCCAAGGCGGGAAAAGAGGAAAGAACAAGACUGACCAUCAAGGCUGGACAUCCCUUUCAGUUCUUUUGAGAACAGACUAGUUGGCUAGAUGUGAAGAAAACAAGCUUUGGAGUAAUCUUCCCUCUGCACAGCCUGUGAUAUUGGGAUCCAGUGAGUGACGGUGAGAGGUGGAGAUGUAUGAACGAGACCUGAGACGUUGGACCUGAACAUCACAGCAAUCACUUGCAGGGCUAAGAUUCAGGGCCAGCUGUCCAUGGAUUCUCCCGAGUUGGAUCGUCUUUCACACACCUGCUUCCUGAGGUUACAUCUCUUUUCCAGCCUAGGAGCAACCAAUAAAGAGCAGAGAGCAAAGAAAAGCAGACACACAAAUCAUCUCUAGACUAUGUCAAGGGUAUCCCCAAAA